Molecule: long non-coding RNA, 748 nt
Organism: Brassica rapa (field mustard)
Lineage: Eukaryota; Viridiplantae; Streptophyta; Magnoliopsida; Brassicales; Brassicaceae
Source: RefSeq, a predicted model, not a curated record
AGAAAAUCCGAUCAAAAUGGAGAGAUAACUAGAGAAAUUUUGAGACUCUACCUCUGGUGGAUUUUUUGAUCUAUUCGGAUUUUAGUGGCAUGGUUUCUCCAGAUAAACUACCAGCUCCCCCAAUUUCUACGAACCAGUUGAGCUAUGCACCAUCACUGCAGAAGAUUUUCCAAAUCUGAUGAAGUUCGAUCAAUGUAUCAUUGAUUCCUUCCACUAGGUCUAUGCUGAAGAUGACACAUGAUGAGAUAGAAUCGCUCCACCUUCUUCAAUCCAACUUGAAGAUGAGACUAUGUUGCAAGCUGGAUAUCUUAUGUUGACUGAUAGUGCAAAAUAUAAACCAAUUCUACACACUGUUAUGUUUAGCUCCUACUCCCUAAUCUUGGUCUCCUUAUGCUACAGUGAUGAAUCAUGUGCUAAAUGACUAAAUGAAAACUCAUCAUCUAAAGAUGGUCUUUAACAAGGAGCUUCGGCAAGCGAAUCCAAGUUGAUGGUUGUUUCCUCGGUCAAAAGAAUCCAUCUAGUAAGAGCUCUCAAGAUCUUUGGAUCUCAUCCAAUGGAGGAAUCACAAGUAUAGGCACAAAGAAUCAACUCCUAAACAUCAUCUUUCAAAUGUAAGGAAAAUAGAGUUACCCCAUUUGCAACUCAGAAUUAUUCAUCCUUCAUCUCAAAUGCUAAAGAACACCUUUGGAAUGCACGGAUGAAAGGCAAAUGUAACUUGAAUCGUCACUAAUUCUAUAUACUUGGAGAA